Molecule: ribosomal RNA, 615 nt
Filed under: Leotiomycetes sp. JCM 28179
Lineage: Eukaryota; Fungi; Ascomycota; Leotiomycetes
Also listed under: 1 other name
Description: eukaryotic LSU rRNA
Rfam family: Eukaryotic large subunit ribosomal RNA
Source: RNAcentral
GCAUAUCAAUAAGCGGAGGAAAAGAAACCAACAGGGAUUGCCUCAGUAACGGCGAGUGAAGCGGCAACAGCUCAAAUUUGAAAUCUGGCUCCUUCGGAGUCCGAGUUGUAAUUUGUAGAAGAUGCUUCGGGUGUGGCUCCGGUCUAAGUUCCUUGGAACAGGACGUCAUAGAGGGUGAGAAUCCCGUAUGUGACUGGACGCCUACGCCCAUGUGAAGCUCUUUCGACGAGUCGAGUUGUUUGGGAAUGCAGCUCUAAAUGGGUGGUAAAUUUCAUCUAAAGCUAAAUAUUGGCCAGAGACCGAUAGCGCACAAGUAGAGUGAUCGAAAGAUGAAAAGCACUUUGGAAAGAGAGUUAAAUAGUACGUGAAAUUGUUGAAAGGGAAGCUCUUGCAACCAGACUUGCGCGUCGUUGAUCAUCUGGUGUUCUCACCAGUGCGCUCAGCGGCGCUCAGGCCAGCAUCAGUUUCGGUGGUUGGAUAAAGGCCCUGGGAAUGUGGCUCCCUUCGGGGAGUGUUAUAGCCCAGGGUGCAAUGCAGCCUACCGGGACUGAGGACCGCGCUUCGGCUAGGAUGCUGGCGUAAUGGUUGUAAGCGACCCGUCUUGAAACACGGACC